UAUCACAGCCAGCUUUGAUG
This 20-nucleotide non-coding RNA is filed under the name Drosophila melanogaster (fruit fly). Lineage: Eukaryota; Metazoa; Arthropoda; Insecta; Diptera; Drosophilidae. The record is from RNAcentral. RNAcentral also lists the same sequence under 1 other name.